This 924-nucleotide ribosomal RNA is filed under the name Trametes versicolor. RNAcentral describes it as "partial large subunit ribosomal RNA". It matches the Rfam family "Eukaryotic large subunit ribosomal RNA", at positions 51 to 967 of the family's 3401-position model. The record is from RNAcentral. Lineage: Eukaryota; Fungi; Basidiomycota; Agaricomycetes; Polyporales; Polyporaceae.
CGGGGCAGAACUAGCAGGAUUCCCCUAGUAACUGCGAGUGAAGCGGGAAAAGCUCAAAUUUAAAAUCUGGCGGUCUUUGGCCGUCCGAGUUGUAGUCUGGAGAAGCGUCUUCCGCGUUGGACCGUGUACAAGUCUCUUGGAACAGAGCGUCAUAGAGGGUGAGAAUCCCGUCUUUGACACGGACUACCAAUGCUUUGUGAUGCGCUCUCAAAGAGUCGCGUUGUUUGGGAAUGCAGCGCAAAAUGGGAGGUGAAUUCCUUCUAAAGCUAAAUAUUGGCGAGAGACCGAUAGCGAACAAGUACCGUGAGGGAAAGAUGAAAAGCACUUUGGAAAGAGAGUUAAACAGUACGUGAAAUUGCUAAAAGGGAAACGCUUGAAGUCAGUCGCGUCGUCCGGAACUCAGCUUUGCUUCGGCUUAGUGCACUUUCCGGUUGACGGGCCAGCAUCGAUUUUGACCGCUGGAAAAGGGCUGGAGGAAUGUGGCACCUUCGGGUGUGUUAUAGCCUUCAGUCGCAUACAGCGGUUGGGAUCGAGGAACGCAGCGCGCCUUAUGGCUGGGGUUCGCCCACAUUCGCGCUUAGGAUGCUGGCAUAAUGGCUUUAAACGACCCGUCUUGAAACACGGACCAAGGAGUCUAACAUGCCUGCGAGUGUUUGGGUGGAAAACCCGAGCGCGUAAUGAAAGUGAAAGUUGAGACCUCUGUCGUGGAGGGCAUCGACGCCCGGACCUGACGUUUUCUGAAGGAUCCGCGGUAGAGCAUGUAUGUUGGGACCCGAAAGAUGGUGAACUAUGCCUGAAUAGGGUGAAGCCAGAGGAAACUCUGGUGGAGGCUCGUAGCGAUUCUGACGUGCAAAUCGAUCGUCAAAUUUGGGUAUAGGGGCGAAAGACUAAUCGAACCAUCUAGUAGCUGGUUCCUGCCGAGUC